UGCGGCCUAUCAGCUUGUUGGUGAGGUAAAGGCUCACCAAGGCGACGACGGGUAGCCGGCCUGAGAGGGUGACCGGCCACACUGGGACUGAGACACGGCCCAGACUCCUACGGGAGGCAGCAGUGGGGAAUAUUGCACAAUGGACGAAAGUCUGAUGCAGCAACGCCGCGUGAGGGACGAAGGCCUUCGGGUUGUAAACCUCUUUUAGCAGGGAAGAAGCGAAAGUGACGGUACCAGCAGAAAAAGCACCGGCUAACUACGUGCCACCAUUUAGUUGAAUACGUAGGGUGCAAGCGUUGUCCG
Molecule: ribosomal RNA, 303 nt
Filed under: uncultured bacterium
Lineage: Bacteria
Description: bacterial SSU rRNA
Rfam family: Bacterial small subunit ribosomal RNA
Source: RNAcentral